GUGGGGAAUUUUGGACAAUGGGCGCAAGCCUGAUCCAGCGACGCCGCGUGGAGGACGAAGGCCUUCGGGUUGUAAACUCCUUUUGGAGGGGAAGAAUAAAUUGACGGUACCCUCAGAAAAAGCCACGGCUAACUACGUGCCAGCAGCCGCGGUAAUACGUAGGUGGCGAGCGUUACUCGGAAUUACUAGGCGUAAAGCGUAUGUAGGUGGUUAGAUAAGUCUAUGGUGAAAUUUCCUGGCUUAACUGGGAAGGGACAUAGAUACUAUCUGGCUUGAGUGUGGGAGGGGGAGACGGAAUUCCUGGUGUAGCGGUGAAAUGCGUAGAUAUCAGGAGGAACACCGAUGGCGAAAGCAGUCUCCUGGCCCAAUACUGACACUGAGGUACGAAAGCUAGGGUAGCAAACAGGAUUAGAUACCCGGGUAGUCC
This 427-nucleotide ribosomal RNA is filed under the name uncultured bacterium. RNAcentral's name for it is "partial 16S ribosomal RNA". It matches the Rfam family "Bacterial small subunit ribosomal RNA", at positions 354 to 796 of the family's 1533-position model. The record is from RNAcentral.